GGAUUGAUCCUGCUGGCCGCAGCCACCCACGUGGUGGAAGCCCGGCCCUGCAGGCUGGAGAGGAUUUGAUUAGACUACGCGUUUCGACUUGCAGGGUGUUUAAUCGUCGCCAAGCGGGACUUACUGCAAGCUAUCAAAUCUGAGGUCUUAUUUUGUUGAGUCGAAAGUGAAAUUUUCCUUUGGCCAACGUGACAGGGCUUUGUUUGGUGGUAAAAAGGGUUACUAGACACCCCUCAUUCCACUGCCACUGGAGGGCGCAUUUCUCAGCUCUUGCUCUUCAAACCUGCUGAAAGGAAUUCCUAGAUCUAAACACCAGCAUCCCCUGCACAGGAGUGAUGGACAGUUGGGUGCAAAGGUGAUGAAGGUGGGAUCCCCGAGGCAUUGUCACUACAGAACAACCAUGAAAUAGACUCCUUAUUUCAGAGGAAGAGUUACAUAUUA
This 441-nucleotide long non-coding RNA is filed under the name Homo sapiens (human). Its description in RNAcentral is "HSALNT0073861". Lineage: Eukaryota; Metazoa; Chordata; Mammalia; Primates; Hominidae. The record is from RNAcentral.